Long non-coding RNA from Hippocampus comes (tiger tail seahorse), 186 nucleotides. RefSeq lists it as uncharacterized. The transcript has 3 exons. Lineage: Eukaryota; Metazoa; Chordata; Actinopteri; Syngnathiformes; Syngnathidae. The record is from RefSeq and is a predicted model, not a curated record.
AUAUAAGCUCUCUGGUCAUGACUGUGAGGCGACAGAAGAGAGACGGAACCAGGACUGACAACAACGCAAGCCUGAGAGGGUUUCCAAGAGCAAACUUGAGUGUGUGUGGACAUCAUCAGCUACAAUGAGCAUUCUCAAGGUGCUCACUGUUGCCCUUGUGCUGUUUGGAACCAGCAGUCUUUCUGC